This 490-nucleotide ribosomal RNA is filed under the name uncultured bacterium. RNAcentral describes it as "partial 16S ribosomal RNA". It matches the Rfam family "Bacterial small subunit ribosomal RNA", at positions 28 to 507 of the family's 1533-position model. The record is from RNAcentral.
GAUGAACGCUAGCUACAGGCUUAACACAUGCAAGUCGAGGGGCAGCAUGGUCUUAGCUUGCUAAGGCCGAUGGCGACCGGCGCACGGGUGAGUAACACGUAUCCAACCUGCCGUCUACUCUUGGACAGCCUUCUGAAAGGAAGAUUAAUACAAGAUGGCAUCAUGAGUCCGCAUGUUCACAUGAUUAAAGGUAUUCCGGUAGACGAUGGGGAUGCGUUCCAUUAGAUAGUAGGCGGGGUAACGGCCCACCUAGUCUUCGAUGGAUAGGGGUUCUGAGAGGAAGGUCCCCCACAUUGGAACUGAGACACGGUCCAAACUCCUACGGGAGGCAGCAGUGAGGAAUAUUGGUCAAUGGGCGAGAGCCUGAACCAGCCAAGUAGCGUGAAGGACGACUGCCCUAUGGGUUGUAAACUUCCUUUAUAAAGGAAUAAAGUCGGGUAUGGAUACCCGUUUGCAUGUACUUUAUGAAUAAGGAUCGGCUAACUCCGUG